This is a long non-coding RNA of Mus musculus (house mouse), 822 nucleotides long. RefSeq annotates it as predicted gene, 42324. The transcript has 2 exons. The record is from RefSeq and is a predicted model, not a curated record. NCBI's taxonomy places the organism in Eukaryota, Metazoa, Chordata, Mammalia, Rodentia, Muridae.
CCUUUACUCUCUCUAGUUGCUAUAGGUCUCCUUCAGCAGAAAGGAGCCAUCCCUCUCAGUGUCCUGUUAGAGCGUACCAGUGAUCACAGACCACGCUGAGGUCUCCUCAACCUACUUCCCUUUGUUCCUGCUCUUCACCUGGUUCACGGGGCCCACACCACCCCCCACCUCUGCUCUGUGUGGGGUGGGGAGGGCAGGUUUCUGCAAAGUACAGCUCCCUUCCACAAGCCCCCCUCGCUCCACCUACCCACUGAGUCAGGAGCCAGGAAUGUCUGUGGGGGCAGCAGACAAGUAUGCCACCCUGGGGGUGUCCCGGGCUGAUUCAUCUCUCCUUUCCACCCAAUCUUCUCCUUACAGGGCUAGGAAAUUGAAGUCUGUCUGGAGAUAAGAGAGCAACCCUGGACUCUGGGAAGAGGAGUUCUUAAACCUAGCCGUGUGAACACUGGAGGACCGAGAUAUUGGAAGAGCGGCUCCAUCCAGAGGCUCUAAACAAAGACCCCAGCACCCACAGUAAAAGCCUGUGAGCUGUCAUCCCAGGGCUGUGGGCAGAGAGGAGGUCCUUGGAGCUUGCUGGUUAGUCAGCAGAAUCAGUGUACCCCUGGACAGUGAGAGACCCUGUUUUGACGGCUGGCAAGAUGGGUUAAUGGCCAAAGGCACCUGCUGCCGAGCCUGACCACCUGAGUCCCAUCACUGUGACUCCACCGGGUGGAGAAAGCUGACUUCUGUUAAGUUGGCCUCUGGCCUCCACCUUUGCUAAGUGCUCGUGUGCAUGCAUGGGCAAGCACGUGAAGGCACACACACACACACACACACACACACACA